Homo sapiens (human) is the source of this 1767-nucleotide long non-coding RNA. The record is from Ensembl. Lineage: Eukaryota; Metazoa; Chordata; Mammalia; Primates; Hominidae.
AUAGACCACAGUUUAUUUAUUUAUCCAUUGACAGACAUUUGGGUUGUUGUCAGUUUUGGGCUAUUGUCAGUAGUCCUGCUGCGGGCAUUCGUGUACAACAUUUGUUUAAAUAGCUGUUCCCAGCUACGUGUGGUGGCUUAUGCCUAUAAUCCCAGCACUUUGGAAGGCCGACGCGGGUGGAUCACCUGAGGCCUCCCACAGUGCUGGAUUACAGGCGUGAACCACUGUGCUCGGCCAGCAAAUGGAUUUUGAACCUGUUCUGUGAAGUCUUACAGAAAAGGAGAGCUGGGAAGGAGAUGGAUGUGAGGCCCCUGGAGAAAGACAGACCUGGGCCCAAGCCUGGGACCUGCAGGUUCCGUCAUCGCUGCGAGACUCGGUCAUUCAUCAGCAGGAUGGGGCUCCCCAGAGUAGCUCCCUGGCAGGAUUGGUGAGGAUGAAAAUAGAGAUGCCUGUCCCAGCCAGCACUCCAGAGGCGUUGGCAAUCACUGCUAAAGGUGACACACUAUUUUUGGUUUUUAGGGGUAAAGCAAGACCUUAGCAAGGUCCCAGGCUGCAGGGCUGAAUGCUGUGGUGGCUACAGGGGUGAGCGAGAUGCCUGGCUCCGGGAUCCUAAAACCAGACAGUGUCUGUAGAGGGAAAACAUCCUCCAUGUCACUGGAAGGGCCACCAUCCAGGGUGCACGUCACCAGGGCUACAGGGAAGGGACAUGGUGCUCUAGGCUCAGAGAAGGGAGGGAUCUCCCUGGCUCGGGCGGGGUAGGAAGAUCCUUAUGAAGAAAUGACAUUUGCAGAAGGCCUCUAAGAAAGUGGAGGGUUUUCACAAACCAAAAGCAAGCAGAAAGCACGGCUGGAGUGAACCUUGCUAUGGGGGCUCACAGGGUUGCACCUUCUCACCAGAGCAUAGGGCAGGGGUGGGGAAGGAAUGAGAGCCACAGACGGGAAUGAAGUGGAAGGUAAGGUCUCAAAGGCAAGGCUGAGGGACCUGCCCUUCACUCCAACUUGCCCCAGGCCUAGCAAGGUGAGCAGGGAUGGUUUCCUGGAGGGAAACAUCAGCUCCGAUCAGAGAGGAAAUCCCAGGCCACCCCCUGCCUUUGUGGCAGGAAGCACUCAAGGCCUCUGGCUAGGAUCUGGAGCCCCUGAGGCUGAGGUCAGGUGGCAGGGCCAGUGUCACCCUCCUCUGCCCCAGGGUGAGUGUGGCACUGAACCCCAGCACCAUUUGUGCUUUCUGUCCCCCUGGAUCUUGGGCCCGGCUGCCCCCCAAUGCAGGGAUGCCCACCACGGCCGUCCUCCUGGAUGCAAUCCUUCCCAGCCCUCAGGCAUCUGCCAGCCUCCUCCUUCUCUGGCCUUCCCACAUCUCAGCCUGGUUCCUGGACACAGAUGCCGUGGUGUGCUGGAGCCGGCUCCUACUAGCUGGCAGGAGUCAAUCUGCACAUCUCUCCCCAAAACCAUGAUCAGCGAAAUCCUCUUAGUAAGCUUGAAGUUGGCCAUGCUGGGAGUAUUUACACCAUGGGAAGUGGCAAAUGCUACCAGUUAGGUAGGGCUACUCUCUCUCAGAGAGCCAGUUGUUAGACUUACUAGCACACCUCUACACAGACAAUGCUAGCCAAGCUGGUCUGGAUUAGAACUCAUUUAAAAGCUGCUCUCUCUGCAUGCUCAGGGUGAGCAGAGCUGCUGAAAUGGCAGAGUGAGGGACAGCUGAUGAGUAGGAGAGACCCUCCAGCUGGGUCACUGAGGGUCUUCCAGGAGAAAUGACACUUUCUAUUCAGCA